UAUGUAGGCGGCCGAACAAGUCAGACGUGUAAGCCCACGGCUCAACCGUGGAAUUGCGUUUGAAACUGUCCGGCUUGAGUGCAGGAGAGGAAAGCGGAAUUCCCAGUGUAGCGGUGAAAUGCAUUGAUAUUGGGAAGAACAUCGGUGGCGAAGGCGGCUUUCUGGCCUGAUACUGACGCUGAGAUACGAAAGCCAGGGGAGCGAACG
RNAcentral lists this ribosomal RNA (207 nucleotides) under uncultured bacterium. RNAcentral describes it as "partial 16S ribosomal RNA". It matches the Rfam family "Bacterial small subunit ribosomal RNA", at positions 568 to 774 of the family's 1533-position model. The record is from RNAcentral.